AUACGGAGGAUCCGAGCGUUAUCCGGAUUUAUUGGGUUUAAAGGGUGCGCAGGCGGCCAUUUAAGUCAGCGGUUAAAUCGUGGGGCUCAACCCCAUUCUGCCGUUGAUACUGGGUGGCUUGAUUGCGGUCGAGGUUGGCGGAAUUCGUUGUGUAGCGGUGGAAUGCAUAGAUAUGACGAAGAACACCGAUUGCGUAGGCAGCUGACCAGAUCGCAAAUGACGCUCAUGCACAAAAGUGCGGGGAUCGAACAGGAUUAGAUACCCUGGUAGUCCGCACAGUAAACGAUGAAUACUUGUUUUCGGCGAUAUAAUGUCGGAGGCAAAGCGAAAGCGAUAAGUAUUCCACCUGGGGAGUACGCCGGCAACGGUGAAACUCAAAUGAAUUGACGGGG
This 392-nucleotide ribosomal RNA is filed under the name uncultured bacterium. RNAcentral's name for it is "partial 16S ribosomal RNA". It matches the Rfam family "Bacterial small subunit ribosomal RNA", at positions 523 to 918 of the family's 1533-position model. The record is from RNAcentral.